AUACGUAGGGAGCGAGCGUUAUCCGGAAUUAUUGGGUGUAAAGGGUGCGUAGACGGGAAGAUAAGUUAGUUGUGAAAUCCCUCGGCUUAACUGAGGAACUGCAACUAAAACUGUUUUUCUUGAGUGCAGGAGAGGUAAGUGGAAUUCCUAGUGUAGCGGUGAAAUGCGUAGAUAUUAGGAGGAACACCAGUGGCGAAGGCGACUUACUGGACUGUAACUGACGUUGAGGCACGAAAGUGUGGGGAGC
RNAcentral lists this ribosomal RNA (247 nucleotides) under uncultured bacterium. RNAcentral describes it as "partial 16S ribosomal RNA". It matches the Rfam family "Bacterial small subunit ribosomal RNA", at positions 523 to 769 of the family's 1533-position model. The record is from RNAcentral.